GUGGAUGUAGUUCAGUUGGCAGAGCACCAGAUUGUGGUUCUGGGUGUCAAGGGUUCGAGUCCCUUUAUCCACC
This 73-nucleotide transfer RNA is filed under the name Planctomycetia bacterium. RNAcentral describes it as "tRNA-His". It matches the Rfam family "tRNA". From Rfam's summary of the family: Transfer RNA (tRNA) molecules are approximately 80 nucleotides in length. Their secondary structure includes four short double-helical elements and three loops (D, anti-codon, and T loops). The record is from RNAcentral. Lineage: Bacteria; Pseudomonadati; Planctomycetota; Planctomycetia.